UCGAACUGUAGAGUUUGAUCCUGGCUCAGAUUGAACGCUGGCGGCAUGCCUUACACAUGCAAGUCGAACGGUAAC
Molecule: ribosomal RNA, 75 nt
Filed under: Comamonas sp. BIGb0124
Lineage: Bacteria; Pseudomonadati; Pseudomonadota; Betaproteobacteria; Burkholderiales; Comamonadaceae
Description: partial 16S ribosomal RNA
Rfam family: Bacterial small subunit ribosomal RNA
Source: RNAcentral